This 429-nucleotide ribosomal RNA is filed under the name Bacillota bacterium. Its description in RNAcentral is "Firmicutes bacterium partial 16S ribosomal RNA". It matches the Rfam family "Bacterial small subunit ribosomal RNA", at positions 355 to 776 of the family's 1533-position model. The record is from RNAcentral. Lineage: Bacteria; Bacillati; Bacillota.
UAGGGAAUCUUCGGCAAUGGACGGAAGUCUGACCGAGCAACGCUGCGUGAGUGAAGAAGGUUUUCGGAUCGUAAAGCUCUGUUGUUAGAGAAGAACGUUGGUAGGAGCGGAAAAUCUACUAAGUGACGGUAACUAACCAGAAAGGGACGGCUAACUACGUGCCAGCAGCCGCGGUAAUACGUAGGUCCCGAGCGUUGUCCGGAUUUAUUGGGCGUAAAGCGAGCGCAGGCGGUUCUUUAAGUCUGCAGUUAAAGGCAGUGGCUUAACCAUUGUACGCUUUGGAAACUGGAGGACUUGGGUGCAGAAGGGGAGAGUGGAAUUCCAUGUGUAGCGGUGAAAUGCGUAGAUAUAUGGAGGAACACCGGUGGCGAAAGCGGCUCUCUGGUCUGUAACUGACGCUGAGGCUCGAAAGCGUGGGGAGCAAACAGG